GCUAUUUUGUGUACACGCAAAAGCAGUCAACGGACAAAUAUUGGUCUUUUUGUAUGAAAUUGUGCAUUAGAAAAGGGGAAUUAAGGAAUUACAAUAUGAGCCGAAUGAUAAACGAAGAAGCUCAGUGUUGUCAAACAUUUCCAAGACGAUUAAUUGUUGGUAUGUCUAUCGUCUAGUGGCAAAUUCUUUAUGCAUAUUAAGGACGAAACAAAUUUGAAAUUUAACAGUUGCUCCAAGUUGAAGAGCAUAUGAUAUGUCCUUAUUGUGAAUAUUUAAAUGGUUGCAAUAAUAAAAUGGGAUAUUUAGAAGACAUUUAUAUGAUCAGAAGCAUGUGAUAUGUCGGCUCUGAAGAUAAACAUGUACGAGGAUACCAUUAGCAAUAAACAUAUCUUCUGCUUUAUGAUACAGUUUUCCCCUAAACAAAAAUGUGUAAUAGUUCAGUGAAAAUGGGCGUCACACUAUAUGUAAGAUUUUUUUUUUUUUUUUAAUUUUGUCAGAAGAUUAACAAAUAAUUUCAAGCCCGAUCUAACUUAUAAAUAAUUCAAUUGCCGAG
Molecule: long non-coding RNA, 553 nt
Filed under: Mytilus galloprovincialis (Mediterranean mussel)
Lineage: Eukaryota; Metazoa; Mollusca; Bivalvia; Mytilida; Mytilidae
Source: RNAcentral